GUGUCAGCAGCCGCGGUAAUACGUAGGGGGCGAGCGUUGUCCGGAAUCAUUGGGCGUAAAGCGCGUGUAGGCGGCUCGAUAAGUCCGGUGUGAAACCUUGGGGCUCAACCCCAAGCCUGCACUGGAUACUGCCGAGCUAGAGUCCGGGAGGGGAGAGCGGAAUUCCUAGUGUAGCGGUGAAAUGCGCAGAUAUUAGGAAGAACACCGGUGGCGAAGGCGGCUCUCUGGAACGGUACUGACGCUGAGACGCGAAAGCGUGGGGAGCGAACAGGAUUAGAUACCCCCGUAGUCC
Molecule: ribosomal RNA, 292 nt
Filed under: uncultured bacterium
Lineage: Bacteria
Description: partial 16S ribosomal RNA
Rfam family: Bacterial small subunit ribosomal RNA
Source: RNAcentral